RNAcentral lists this ribosomal RNA (490 nucleotides) under uncultured bacterium. Its description in RNAcentral is "partial 16S ribosomal RNA". It matches the Rfam family "Bacterial small subunit ribosomal RNA", at positions 30 to 507 of the family's 1533-position model. The record is from RNAcentral.
AUUGAACGCUGGCGGCAUGCUUUACACAUGCAAGUCGAACGGCAGCGGGGUAGUGCUUGCACUACUGCCGGCGAGUGGCGAACGGGUGAGUAAUAUAUCGGAACGUACCGAGUAAUGGGGGAUAACCAAUCGAAAGAUUGGCUAAUACCGCAUACGUCCUGAGGGAGAAAGCGGGGGAUCGCAAGACCUCGCGUUAUUCGAGCGGCCGAUAACUGAUUAGCUAGUUGGUGGGGUAAAGGCCUACCAAGGCGACGAUCAGUAGCGGGUCUGAGAGGACGAUCCGCCACACUGGGACUGAGACACGGCCCAGACUCCUACGGGAGGCAGCAGUGGGGAAUUUUGGGCAAUGGGGGCAACCCUGAUCCAGCCAUGCCGCGUGUAUGAAGAAGGCCUUCGGGUUGUAAAGUACUUUUGUUAGGGAAGAAAAGGGAAGUGCUAAUACCACUUUUUGCUGACGGUACCUAAAGAAUAAGCACCGGCUAACUACGUG